This 2138-nucleotide ribosomal RNA is filed under the name ciliate metagenome. Its description in RNAcentral is "bacterial LSU rRNA". It matches the Rfam family "Bacterial large subunit ribosomal RNA", at positions 1 to 2553 of the family's 2925-position model. The record is from RNAcentral.
AUAAUAAUAUAAUUGCGUUAGGGGGAUGACUAGGCUAUAAUUAAUUGGCGUUAUUUUAGGCGAUAUAUUAUGGAACUGCGGAUAGUUGGGAAAUAAUGAUUCAUAAAUAUAGUGAAGAGAAUCAUCUCAGUAACUAGGGUAAAAUAGUAAUGGGCGGUUAGUAGUGGCGAGCGAAACCCGUAAUUUAUGUUAUUUUAUGAUUAGAAUUGUUUAAACGCAAACCUUAGGGGGUAAAAGUCCCGUAUAAUUUAAUGAAAUAAUAUAAUAGUAGUAUAGUUUAAUUUAAAAUUAUACAGUUUAUAAAACGCCCCGUUUUUUAAUUUAUAAUUAUAGUUGAUAGCGAAAAGUAGAGUGAUUGAACGAUGUAAAGAACUCACUGAGAGUGCAAUAGAACCUAAAACCUAAUGUAAAUCUAUUGAAGCUAAGGCAACAAUGUACCUUUUGCAUAAUGGACCAGUAAGUUAAAUUAAUUGGCGAGCUUAAUUUAGGAAGGCGUAAUUAAUAUAAUUAAGUUAAUUAAUUUAGACCCGAAGCUAUGUGAUCUAAUCAUGAACAGGUUAUAGACCGAACCGGUGAAUGUGGCAAUAUUCUCGGAUGAUUUGUGAUUAGGGGUGAUAGGCCUAUCAAACAUAGUGAUAGUUGGUUCUCCGCGAAACCUAUUUUAGUAGGAAUAAAAAAAUAUGGAUGGGGGGGUAUUAAAUUUUGUAAAUAAAAAUAAAUGAUUUGUAUUUAAAUUACGAAGAUUUGAGAAUACCUAAUCUAUAGGUUUAUAUCGGUCUAUUGGCGCAAACGUUUAUAGACGAGAGGGGAAUAACCCAGACCAUGAUUUAAGGUUCAUAAACUAUUGUUAAACAUAAGAUUUUAUUUAAUAUAUUAGGAGGUGGGUAUGGAAGCUAUCAUCCUUUAAAGAACGCGUUAUAGCGCACUAUUAUUAUAAUGUAUUUAAAUUAUAAGUUAAGUAAGAUCUAAAAUAUUGAAAUAAACAAUAUACCGAAAAUAUGGAUUUAUGGUAGUGGAGUGUAUUGUAUUUAGUAAAGAUUAAUUGAAAGAUUAGUUAAAUAAAUCAAUAGCAAUAAUGCUGGUAAGAGUAGCUUUUAAUGUGAGAAUCAUUAAUAUCGUAUAUUCUAGAGUUAUUACGGAAGAGUUAUUCACGUAAUGUUAAUCGACCCCUAAGGUAAAAACUAAAGUUUGGGGCUGAUGGGGUUAUUUGGGAUGACUUAAUUUAACUUAUUUAGGUAUUGAAGUUAAAGUAUUUAAAUAAAUUAAGUUAACUGGAAAAAACCCAAAUGUAGGUCGUAUUAAAACUGACACCGGUGGAUGAGUAGAGUAUACUAAGAUAACGAAUGAAUAGUGUUGAAGGAACUCGGCAAAUUAGUCCCGUAACUUAGGGAGAAGGGAUGCCUUUAAAGGUUACAAUAAAGUGGGGAUAGCGACUGUUUAAUAAAAACACAAAAUCCUGCAAAGUUGAAAAAUGAGGUAUAGGAUUUGACUUCUGCCCAGUGCUGCAAAAUGAAAAUAAUAAAUAUAGUUUAUUAAUAAAUUCCAGUAAACGGCGGCCGUAAUUCUGACGGUCCAAAGGUAGCGAAAUUCCUUGGCGGGUAAGUUCCGUCCUGCAUGAAUGAAGUAACGACUGUCCCACUGUCUCCAACACUAUUUCGGUGAAAAUGAAAUUGUCGUGCAGAUGCGAUAAAGUACAGUAAGACGAGAAGACCCCAUGCACCUUUACUAUAACCCUUCACUAAUUAUUAGAAAAUUUUUGUUUAGUAAGGUAGGAAUAUUAUAAUAAUGUAAAACUACCCUUUAAUUUUUUAAUAAUUGAAUAUAGGAGAAAUAUGUAUAUAUAAGAUGGAGGGUUGGUAGUUUAGCUGGGGCGGCUUCCUCCUAAAAAGUAACGGAGGUAAUUAAUUGAUUAUGGGGUUGUAUAAAAUUACAACUAUUGCUUAAUGGUAUCAAUAAUCAGAUAAACUUAUUUACAGAUAAGUUUAGUAAUAGAAACAUAAUGACACGGUAUAACUGUGGGGUAAGUAUAUCGUUAAAUGGAUAAAAGGUACGCUGGGGGUAACAGGCUAAUGAUUCUUUAAAGUUCAUAUUGACAGAAUCGUUUGGCACCUCGAUGUCGGCUCAUCAUAUCCUGAGGG